UCUUCAUAGAUUGUUUUGGUACCUGCUCUCUCAUUUUUUUCAUAGGCACAACUCUUUAAUUCUUCUGUCUGUUUUCAGCUUUGAAUUUUGGAUGACAAGCUCUGUGCUUAUACAUCGAUUUCUCUGCUUCUUCUUUGUAAAUCUUGCAGGUCAGGACGACACACCUAUUGGGGCAAUGUCGGGAUGUUUAGGCUUGGGUGGAGAUGUGGACUUAUAGAAGAGUGCAAGAUGUUGGGACCGGUUACUGGAAUAUGAGAUUUGGAACAAAAGUGGUGCAAGAGUCGAAACCAAGUGUGAAAUUCACAUUGAAAAUGAUUGGUCAAAAUGCUAAUCAUAUUCUGAAAAAUGUUGGGUUUCCUGAUGAGUACUCUGGCUGAAUUCAAGAGGCUAAUUUAGUGAUUUGCAGUUAAUUUUGUAAAUUUAUUGAAUGAAGUCAUUUGUUAUUUAGCUUAUCUUGUGUUUAGUUUGGUUUUAGGAGAGGGUUGCGCAUGAUCUGUAGAAUCAUAAUUAAGGGUCAGUUUUUCCAACAAUUUUUCUUUUUCUUUUUGCUGCAUGUUUGUGCAUGUUUGGUCUCUGAGAUUUUGUUUUUAGUCACUGUUGAUUUGUAGUUUAUGUCUCCCUUUGGCUACAUAUUGACACAAGUUUAUUCUUGGCAUUUUUUUGUUAGGGUAAGUGGUUUGGCCAGUUCUGUAUUAUCAUUUUUACUUAGUGUUGAUGUAUAAGGUGAACUCUCUUUGCAUCAACUUGAACAAACAUUCUUCUA
Long non-coding RNA from Pyrus x bretschneideri (Chinese white pear), 763 nucleotides. RefSeq lists it as uncharacterized. Lineage: Eukaryota; Viridiplantae; Streptophyta; Magnoliopsida; Rosales; Rosaceae. The transcript is spliced from 2 exons. The record is from RefSeq and is a predicted model, not a curated record.